AAAACAGUUCUGUAAUUAGAAAUAUUUCGGUAAUUGUUCAAUCUGACGUCUUGUUUUCAACGAAUUUCGUUAAUCCGUUUGUUGACUUACCGGAACUCGUUUGUUUGUAUGUAAACAAAUAACUUUGCAAUUAAUUUUCGGUAAAAAACGCCGAAAACUGUAAAUUAAAACUGGCUGUCAGGAGAAACGUCAAAAUUCUAUUGUCAUUUUACGGCAGUUAAGCAGUCUCCCUCUCGCUCCUGCUACCGUAAUCAUUUGUCUCGAGUUUUCAAGUGUGCACGAGCGGAGUGAAUAGAAGCAAUCAUCGCCGUCGCCUUCUUUUCAAAGAUGGUGACACGCGUUCCUUGUGUUGAGGUGUUGUGAAAAGUUUUUUGUUCGAUUGUGGGGCCAAUGAAAUUGCUGCUUCCUUCACAUGGCUGUGGAAAACAACAACAACAACCCGGUAAUGUUCAAGGGAAUCUAAUGAAUCCACCUACCUGGCAGGCUGUUCUGUGGCAGGAUGGAUAAGGUUUAAGAACAGUUUAGCUGUGCGAGUAGUGGAUGGUCGGUACAAGCGGUAAUAUUUUGACUACCGCACAAAAGUAGUGGGCAGAGACGCAGGUUCUGAUCCUGUCCGGAUCGUCACGGCCCAUUCGUACCCGGUUUAGCCAGAAGGAUCUGAUCCAGCUGUGGUGACCGUUCCAGUACAUAGCGAUUCAACUUCUCACACUUUGUCCACCAUUUUCGCUGCUAACACCUCUGCAUAACGAUGCCCUCAAUUGCAUGGAGCUAUUUUAGAAACGAGCUAUCGGCCGGGGAAAGGAUGAUGGACACAAUUUGAAGAAAAGGAUUUCGACCAUAUUCAAGCAGCUGUUGAGUAUGAGCAAGUUUGCAUGUGUGCCACCGUCUUUCAACCGAAUUGAAACAAGACUAAUUAAAUCGACACCUUCAGGAAGCGGGGCAACACUGUUCAGCCGCAUCAGCUAUAUGCGGUCUACGCGAGCAACGGUGUAAAGUGGGUCAGUAUGAACUACAUCCCCUUCGGUGAGAAAGCCCUGCAGUGAAAUUGUACCUACCAGCGAACCUACAAUGAAGGAAAAAGAACUAUCAUCGAGGGUCAAAUUCUGCCCGAAAUCAUCCAAGAGCUAUCUUUCGUAAGUAAAAAAGCAUGUCAGCAAGUACUUGGAAGCUAGUCAAAUCUGAUGACUGUUUUGCGUACGAAUCUGCUAGUGGCCUGGAAAUACCCGAACAAUUAAGCGCAAUAUGGAAAGACAUCUCAGAUACGUUGGGUCAGUUUCUUAUUCCUAAAAGUGUCUGUGUGGUGGUAGACCGUGGUUUGGAUGAGCUGGCCCUUUCUUUACUACAUACACCUUUCCCGAGGUCGGUUCCGGAGUAACCAAUGUGAAAACGGACUCCAUCCGGGGCGGUGAAAAACUGACAAUCACCAUUCUUCUUAUGCCACCGCUUAACUGAGCACUGUGGUCUGGUCGAGGAAAACAACCAUGAAGGGGGCAGUUGAGCUGCAGGUGGCCGGGCACGUUGCAAGUCGAACAAGAUAGUGGAGAGUCUGGAAUAAACCUUCUCCCAGAAUAGGCACUUUAAUAAAAGUUGAUGUGAAGCGGAUCAACUUUUCAAUGGCAUUGGAGAUUCUGUCGUAAUUUUGAUGCAAUUGAUCAAAAUGCUUCGCUAUUCUCAGCGAGAUGAUACAGAUUUCUGCCAGGUUAAUAAGAAUUCCAAAGAAUUCUUACUUUGGUUCUAGAAAACUUAUUUUUAGAAUUUCUUAUGUUCCGCUAAUUGUAAUAUCAUAACGGCAUUAAUAAUGUUCUAGAUUAAUUGAAACGGUGAUUGAAUCUAAGAUCCGAACUAGCUAAUAAUUGAAAUGUUACAUACCAUGCAGGUUAAAAGUUCACGGAGAGGGGUGAGUCUAGUUCAAGUUAGGUGUACGAGCUUGAAUAAAUUAAAUAACAAAAAAAUAUUAACUUUAGUGAACUUUACAAAAAAAAUGAACAUUUGAUUAACCGUCCUAAUACUCAAUUAAAGCAUAUUCUGCUUCAUUUAUUAUAUUUUUGCUAAUUUUCAACGAAAAUAGUCUAAAGAGGUGACGCUGAACGUGCACAGCACAGAUCCGGGAUUCGCUGUGGACGACCUACGUUAGCUUCUCGAAUGACAGCAUCGAUGACUACAUGAAUAAGGUACCCGUGGUAUUGAUAACCAAAUUUAACCUAGGCAUCACUCUGUUCCAGUCUACGCCAGACGAGAUCAGCCGCACCAAGACUGACAUUACCCAGCUUACCACUCUCAGCUGUUCAUUAGACAAAGGCCGAAAGUGGAUAGGUUUAUGUCGAACAAUCUUGUUCAAUUGGGUGCGAUGUUCGAUUUCAAUCAAUGUGUUUAAGUAGUUAUAUUAUUAAUAAAUAGCAUUUAUGUUUGA
Long non-coding RNA from Uranotaenia lowii, 2410 nucleotides. RefSeq lists it as uncharacterized. The transcript is spliced from 8 exons. Lineage: Eukaryota; Metazoa; Arthropoda; Insecta; Diptera; Culicidae. The record is from RefSeq and is a predicted model, not a curated record.